UGCCAGCCGCCGCGGUAAGACGGAGGGUGCUAGCGUUGUUCGGAAUGACUGGGCGUAAAGGGCGCGUAGGCGGUUUUGUUAGUCAGGCGUGAAAGCCCCGGGCUCAACCCGGGAACUGCGUUUGAUACUGCAAGACUUGAGGACGGAAGAGGAAAGUGGAAUUCCUAGUGUAGAGGUGAAAUUCGUAGAUAUUAGGAGGAACACCAGAGGCGAAGGCGGCUUUCUGGUCCGUUACUGACGCUGAGGCGCGAAAGCGUGGGGAGCAAACAGGAUUAGAUA
RNAcentral lists this ribosomal RNA (279 nucleotides) under uncultured bacterium. RNAcentral's name for it is "partial 16S ribosomal RNA". It matches the Rfam family "Bacterial small subunit ribosomal RNA", at positions 506 to 784 of the family's 1533-position model. The record is from RNAcentral.